Molecule: non-coding RNA, 24 nt
Filed under: Arabidopsis thaliana (thale cress)
Lineage: Eukaryota; Viridiplantae; Streptophyta; Magnoliopsida; Brassicales; Brassicaceae
Source: RNAcentral
GUCGAAACUAACCGCGCCUAUGCA